Molecule: small nuclear RNA, 138 nt
Filed under: Chinchilla lanigera (long-tailed chinchilla)
Lineage: Eukaryota; Metazoa; Chordata; Mammalia; Rodentia; Chinchillidae
Description: U4 spliceosomal RNA (ENSCLAG00000020562.1)
Rfam family: U4 spliceosomal RNA
About the family: U4 small nuclear RNA (U4 snRNA) is a component of the major U2-dependent spliceosome. The structure of U4 snRNA from yeast and human has been reported.
Source: Rfam by way of RNAcentral
AGCUUUGCGCAGUGGCAGUAUCAUAGCCAAUGAGGUUUAUCCAAGGUGCAAUUAUUGCAUAUUGAAGAAAUUCUAUCAUAUCAAAGCUUCAAUCACUACAGUUUAUAUUUAGGCUGAAAAUUAGUUUCUCUACCCAGA